This 496-nucleotide ribosomal RNA is filed under the name uncultured bacterium. RNAcentral describes it as "partial 16S ribosomal RNA". It matches the Rfam family "Bacterial small subunit ribosomal RNA", at positions 29 to 507 of the family's 1533-position model. The record is from RNAcentral.
AUGAACGCUGGCGGCGUGCCUAAUACCUGCCAGUCGAGCGAACAGACGAGGAGCUUGCUCCUCUGACGUUAGCGGCGGACGGGUAAGUAACACGUGGAUAACCUACCUAUAAGACUGGGAUAACUUCGGGAAACCGGAGCUAAUACCGGAUAAUAUAUUGAACCGCAUGGUUCAAUAGUGAAAGACGGUUUUGCUGUCACUUAUAGAUGGAUCCGCGCCGCAUUAGCUAGUUGGUAAGGUAACGGCUUACCAAGGCAACGAUGCGUAGCCGACCUGAGAGGGUGAUCGGCCACACUGGAACUGAGACACGGUCCAGACUCCUACGGGAGGCAGCAGUAGGGAAUCUUCCGCAAAGGGCGAAAGCCUGACGGAGCAACGCCGCGUGAGUGAUGAAGGUCUUCGGAUCGUAAAACUCUGUUAUUAGGGAAGAACAAAUGUGUAAGUAACUAUGCACGUCUUGACGGUACCUAAUCAGAAAGCCACGGCUAACUACGUG